RNAcentral lists this small RNA (107 nucleotides) under Marmota monax (woodchuck). Lineage: Eukaryota; Metazoa; Chordata; Mammalia; Rodentia; Sciuridae. The record is from RNAcentral.
GCCAGGCAUGGUGGUGCUCCCCUGUAAUCUCAGCUACUCAGGAGGCUGAGGCAGGAGGACCACAAGUUUGAGGCCAGCCUCAGCAAUUCAGUGAGACCCUGCCUCAA